Molecule: ribosomal RNA, 916 nt
Filed under: uncultured bacterium
Lineage: Bacteria
Description: bacterial SSU rRNA
Rfam family: Bacterial small subunit ribosomal RNA
Source: RNAcentral
AGAGUUUGAUCAUGGCUCAGGACGAACGCUGGCGGCGUGCUUAAUACAUGCAAGUCGAGCGAGGUUACUGUUUUGGAUCCCUUCGGGGUGAAGAAGCUUUAACCUAGCGGCGGACGGGUGAGUAACGCGUGGGUAACCUACCCCAAAGUCCGGGAUAACAGCGGGAAACCGCUGCUAAUACCGGAUGCCUUUACCUUGGGGCAUCUUGAGGUAAAAAAAGGUAACGCUUUGGGAUGGGCCCGCGUCCCAUUAGCUAGUUGGUGAGGUAACGGCUCACCAAGGCGACGAUGGGUAGCCGGCCUGAGAGGGUGGACGGCCACACUGGGACUGAGACACGGCCCAGACUCCUACGGGAGGCAGCAGUAGGGAAUAUUGCGCAAUGGACGGAAGUCUGACGCAGCGACGCCGCGUGAGCGAUGAAGGUCUUCGGAUCGUAAAGCUCUGUCCUUGGGGAAGAAGGCGAAAGCUUGACGGUACCCAAGAAGAAAGCCCCGGCUAACUACGUGCCAGCAGCCGCGGUAAUACGUAGGGGGCGAGCGUUGUCCGGAAUUACUGGGCGUAAAGGGUGCGUAGGCGGCCCUUUAAGUCGGAUGUGAAAGCCCGCGGCUUAACCGCGGAAUGGCACUCGAAACUGGAGGGCUUGAGUGUCGGAGAGGGUAGUGGAAUUCCCAGUGUAGCGGUGAAAUGCGUAGAUAUUGGGAGGAACACCAGUGGCGAAGGCGACUACCUGGACGAUAACUGACGCUGAGGCACGAAAGCUAGGGGAGCAAACAGGAUUAGAUACCCUGGUAGUCCUAGCCGUAAACGAUGGGUACUAGGUGUGGGUGGUUUCGAUACCAUCCGUGCCGUAGUUAACGCAUUAAGUACCCCGCCUGGGGAGUACGUGCGCAAGCAUGAAACUCAAAUGAAUUGACGG